GAAUUUCUCCGCUUUGAGUUUUUAUUUGGCCCUUGCAAAGGAGGCCACGGCCUUGGCAGCAGAACUGGAGAACAUUUAAAGGCCAGGUGGCUGCUAAAUCAAUCAAACCACAAGGCUGGGAGGGAGAAGCUACAAUGGAAGGAUCUGCCCACCUCACCACAGUUCACAGACAUCAUGGGUUUUCGAAGAGAAGAGAAGAGAAGAGAAGCAACUAAAACCCACAAUUCACCAGUCCAAGAUAAAAUUCAGCAACAGCCCAAGAGGCACCAGUGUCUGAGCAGGCUCCUUGCUCCUGCAGAGGACAGACUGUCACGAGAGAGAUUGUUUUACCA
This 332-nucleotide long non-coding RNA is filed under the name Junco hyemalis (dark-eyed junco). RNAcentral's name for it is "lncRNA (ENSJHYG00000016123.1)". Lineage: Eukaryota; Metazoa; Chordata; Aves; Passeriformes; Passerellidae. The record is from RNAcentral.